GUCGACGGCCAUAGCACCCUGAACGCGCCCCAUCUCUUAUGAUCUCGGAAGCUAAGCAGGGUCGGGCCUGGUUAGUGCUUGGAUGGGAGACCUCCUGGGAAUACCGGGUGCUGUAGGCU
RNAcentral lists this ribosomal RNA (119 nucleotides) under Dasypus novemcinctus (nine-banded armadillo). The record is from RNAcentral. Lineage: Eukaryota; Metazoa; Chordata; Mammalia; Cingulata; Dasypodidae.